Molecule: ribosomal RNA, 498 nt
Filed under: uncultured bacterium
Lineage: Bacteria
Description: partial 16S ribosomal RNA
Rfam family: Bacterial small subunit ribosomal RNA
Source: RNAcentral
GACGAACGCUGGCGGCAUGCCUAACACAUGCAAGUCGAACGGAGAUUAUUUCGGUAAUCUUAGUGGCGAACGGGUGAGUAACGCGUGGGCAACCUGCCCUCUAGAUGGGGACAACAUCCCGAAAGGGGUGCUAAUACCGAAUGUGACAGCAAUCUCGCAUGAGGAUGCUGUGAAAGAUGGCCUCUAUUUAUAAGCUAUCGCUAGAGGAUGGGCCUGCGUCUGAUUAGCUAGUUGGUGGGGUAACGGCCUACCAAGGCGAUGAUCAGUAGCCGGUCUGAGAGGAUGAACGGCCACAGUGGGACUGAGACACGGCCCAGACUCCUACGGGAGGCAGCAGUGGGGAAUCUUCCGCAAUGGGCGAAAGCCUGACGGAGCAAUGCCGCGUGAGUGAUGAAGGAAUUCGUUCCGUAAAGCUCUUUUGUUUAUGACGAAUGUGCAGAUUGUGAACAAUGAUCUGUAAUGACGGUAGUAAACGAAUAAGCCACGGCUAACUACGUG